AGUGAACGCUGGCGGUAGGCCUAACACAUGCAAGUCGAACGGCAGCACAGUAAGAGCUUGCUCUUACGGGUGGCGAGUGGCGGACGGGUGAGGAAUACAUCGGAACCUACUUUUUCGUGGGGGAUAACGUAGGGAAACUUACGCUAAUACCGCAUACGACCUACGGGUGAAAGCAGGGGAUCUUCGGACCUUGCGCGAUUGAAUGAGCCGAUGUCGGAUUAGCUAGUUGGCGGGGUAAAGGCCCACCAAGGCGACGAUCCGUAGCUGGUCUGAGAGGAGGAUCAGCCACACUGGAACUGAGACACGGUCCAGACUCCUACGGGAGGCAGCAGUGGGGAAUAUUGGACAAUGGGCGCAAGCCUGAUCCAGCCAUACCGCGUGGGUGAAGAAGGCCUUCGGGUUGUAAAGCCCUUUUGUUGGGAAAGAAAAGCAGCAGGUUAAUACCCCGCUGUUCUGACGGUACCCAAAGAAUAAGCACCGGCUAACUUCGUG
Molecule: ribosomal RNA, 492 nt
Filed under: uncultured bacterium
Lineage: Bacteria
Description: partial 16S ribosomal RNA
Rfam family: Bacterial small subunit ribosomal RNA
Source: RNAcentral